AGGCAGAGUGAGGAGACGCUGCCAGCCGCCACGAUGAGGAGCGGGAUGUAAAGUACCGCAGAUUACAUUGUGGAUAAACCCACUCUGGAAGGUUACUGCAGUUUUUAUGCACCGGUCUGCCAGCUGUAUAGAAUGCCUAAAGGAAAAGUAGCUGCCAAUGGUUUCAGAUGUCAGGACUUGUACCCAAGGAUCAAGGUCUCCUUGUCUGCAGCCUUUAGCAGAACCAAGAAAACGAACAGAAAGGCAAACCCAGGUCUUCCAGACGCGCUCCCGGUGGUAAUCAUGGCUUUGUCUAGUCUAAGCUGUGGAAGUAGAUUUUAACUCUGUCUGCCUUGCAAACCAAAAACCAGGCUGAGGGGGGGGGGGUUAUACCUUCUGGCUUAUGCUCUGGAUGUUUGCCACGCGAUACGUUUUCUCGUGGCCUUGGAUGGACUUUCUGGUGCGGCCCUUCUGCAUUUCUACUUCUUCAGCCGGAAGAACUUACAAAGAGAUUGCUGUCCCCUCCCCACCAAUAAAAACCCUGAAAG
Peromyscus maniculatus bairdii (prairie deer mouse) is the source of this 527-nucleotide long non-coding RNA. RefSeq lists it as uncharacterized. NCBI's taxonomy places the organism in Eukaryota, Metazoa, Chordata, Mammalia, Rodentia, Cricetidae. The record is from RefSeq and is a predicted model, not a curated record.